Molecule: ribosomal RNA, 1464 nt
Filed under: Lactiplantibacillus plantarum
Lineage: Bacteria; Bacillati; Bacillota; Bacilli; Lactobacillales; Lactobacillaceae
Description: bacterial SSU rRNA
Rfam family: Bacterial small subunit ribosomal RNA
Source: RNAcentral
GCUAUACAUGCAAGUCGAACGAACUCUGGUAUUGAUUGGUGCUUGCAUCAUGAUUUACAUUUGAGUGAGUGGCGAACUGGUGAGUAACACGUGGGAAACCUGCCCAGAAGCGGGGGAUAACACCUGGAAACAGAUGCUAAUACCGCAUAACAACUUGGACCGCAUGGUCCGAGCUUGAAAGAUGGCUUCGGCUAUCACUUUUGGAUGGUCCCGCGGCGUAUUAGCUAGAUGGUGGGGUAACGGCUCACCAUGGCAAUGAUACGUAGCCGACCUGAGAGGGUAAUCGGCCACAUUGGGACUGAGACACGGCCCAAACUCCUACGGGAGGCAGCAGUAGGGAAUCUUCCACAAUGGACGAAAGUCUGAUGGAGCAACGCCGCGUGAGUGAAGAAGGGUUUCGGCUCGUAAAACUCUGUUGUUAAAGAAGAACAUAUCUGAGAGUAACUGUUCAGGUAUUGACGGUAUUUAACCCAGAAAGCCACGGCUAACUACGUGCCAGCAGCCGCGGUAAUACGUAGGUGGCAAGCGUUGUCCGGGAUUUAUUGGGCGUAAAGCGAGCGCAGGCGGUUUUUUAAGUCUGAUGUGAAAGCCUUCGGCUCAACCGAAGAAGUGCAUCGGAAACUGGGAAACUUGAGUGCAGAAGAGGACAGUGGAACUCCAUGUGUAGCGGUGAAAUGCGUAGAUAUAUGGAAGAACACCAGUGGCGAAGGCGGCUGUCUGGUCUGUAACUGACGCUGAGGCUCGAAAGUAUGGGUAGCAAACAGGAUUAGAUACCCUGGUAGUCCAUACCGUAAACGAUGAAUGCUAAGUGUUGGAGGGUUUCCGCCCUUCAGUGCUGCAGCUAACGCAUUAAGCAUUCCGCCUGGGGAGUACGGCCGCAAGGCUGAAACUCAAAGGAAUUGACGGGGGCCCGCACAAGCGGUGGAGCAUGUGGUUUAAUUCGAAGCUACGCGAAGAACCUUACCAGGUUCUUGACAUACUAUGCAAAUCUAAGAGAUUAGACGUUUCCCUUCGGGGACAUGGAUACAGGUGGUGCAUGGUUGUCGUCAGCUCGUGUCGUGAGAUGUUGGGUUAAGUCCCGCAACGAGCGCAACCCUUAUUAUCAGUUUGCCAGCAAUUAAGUUGGGCACCUCUGGUGAGACUGCCGGUGACAAACCGGAGGAAGGUGGGGAUGACGUCAAAUCAUCAUUGCCCCUUAUGACCUGGGCUUAACACACACGUGUCCUCACAAUUGGAUGGUACAACGAGUUGCGAACUCGCGAGAGUAAGCUAAUCUCUUAAAGCCAUUCUCAGUUCGGAUUGUAGGCUGCAACUCGCCUACAUGAAGUCGGAAUCGCUAGUAAUCGCGGAUCAGCAUGCCGCGGUGAAUACGUUCCCGGGCCUUGUACACACCGCCCGUCACACCAUGAGAGUUUGUAACACCCAAAGUCGGUGGGGUAACCUUUUAGGAACCAGCCGCCUAAG